This 253-nucleotide ribosomal RNA is filed under the name uncultured bacterium. Its description in RNAcentral is "partial 16S ribosomal RNA". It matches the Rfam family "Bacterial small subunit ribosomal RNA", at positions 524 to 776 of the family's 1533-position model. The record is from RNAcentral.
UACGUAGGGUGCAAGCGUUGUCCGGAAUUAUUGGGCGUAAAGCGCGUGUAGGCGGUCCGGUAAGUCCGCUGUGAAAGUCCAGGGCUCAACCCUGGGAUGCCGGUGGAUACUGUCGGGCUCGAGUCCGGAAGAGGCGAGUGGAAUUCCUGGUGUAGCGGUGAAAUGCGCAGAUAUCAGGAGGAACACCAAUGGCGAAGGCAGCUCGCUGGGACGUGACUGACGUUGAGACGCGAAAGCGUGGGGAGCAAACAGG